GAUGAACGCUGGCGGCGUGCAUAACACAUUCAAGUCGAACGGUGACGAGGACUUCGGUCCUCUGAUCAGUGGCGGACGGGUGAGUAACGCGUGAGCAACCUGCCCUAUAUUGCGGGAUAACAACCGGAAACAGUUGCUAAUACCGCAUGACGUAUUCGGAUCGCAUGUUCUGAAUACCAAAGAAUUUUGAUAUAGGAUGGGCUCGCGUCCGAUUAGGCAGUUGGUGGGGUAACGGCCCACCAAACCGACGAUCGGUAGCCGAACUGAGAGGUUGAGCGGCCACAUUGGAACUGAGAUACGGUCCAGACUCCUACGGGAGGCAGCAGUGGGGAAUAUUGCACAAUGGAGGAAACUCUGAUGCAGCAACGCCGCGUGAGGGAAGAAGGUUUUCGGAUUGUAAACUUCUUUUAUACGGGAAUAACACCAUCUACGUGUAGAUGUCUGCAUGUACCGUAUGAAUAAGCAUCGGCUAACUCCGUGCCAGCAGCC
RNAcentral lists this ribosomal RNA (489 nucleotides) under uncultured bacterium. Its description in RNAcentral is "bacterial SSU rRNA". It matches the Rfam family "Bacterial small subunit ribosomal RNA", at positions 28 to 516 of the family's 1533-position model. The record is from RNAcentral.